Molecule: ribosomal RNA, 442 nt
Filed under: uncultured bacterium
Lineage: Bacteria
Description: partial 16S ribosomal RNA
Rfam family: Bacterial small subunit ribosomal RNA
Source: RNAcentral
GUGAACGCUGGCGGCAUGCCUAACACAUGCAAGUCGAUCGGUAAGGCUCUUCGGAGUACACGAGAGGCGGACGGCUGAGUAACGCGUAGGAACACACCCUGCAGUGAGGGAUAAGACACCGAAAGGUGUUCUAAUACCGCAUACGGUCUUCGGAUUAAAGCAUUUAUGCGCUGAAGGAGUGGCCUGCGUCAUAUUAGAUAGUUGGUGAGGUAAUGGCUCACCAAGUCGAUGAUGUGUAGCUGGUCUGAGAGGAUGAUCAGCCAGACUGGAACUGAGACACGGUCCAGACUCCUACGGGAGGCAGCAGUGAGGAAUAUUUCACAAUGAGCGAAAGCUUGAUGGAGCAAUGCCGCGUGCAGGAUGAAGGCCCUCGGGUUGUAAACUGCUUUUAUAAGAGAAGAUUAUGACGGUAACUUAUGAAUAAGGGACGGCUAACUACGUG